RNAcentral lists this transfer RNA (73 nucleotides) under Firmicutes bacterium CAG:884. It matches the Rfam family "tRNA". Rfam says of the family: Transfer RNA (tRNA) molecules are approximately 80 nucleotides in length. Their secondary structure includes four short double-helical elements and three loops (D, anti-codon, and T loops). The record is from Rfam by way of RNAcentral. Lineage: Bacteria; Bacillati; Bacillota.
GCACGUAUGGUGAAGCGGUUAACACGGCGGAUUGUGGUUCCGUUAUGCGUGGGUUCGAACCCCACUAUGUGCU